UUAUAGCGCCCUCUGCAGGAGAUUUGCAGAUGUGCCACAGGCUGCACAGUGUACAGCUAGGGCAGUGAAAAUAGGGUAUGAUAGAGAAUUAUGGUUUAACAAAAGGCACGUAUAGUUCUUGAUGUCUAAGACAUUCGACUGGGUUGGGCUUCGAGAUGCCAUUAUAAAAGCCUACACUGAGCGGAUAAGGGACUCUCAGCAGACGGAGGGAGCCUCGACGAAGGACCCAUCCCUGAGACCAUGGCAGCAGAGGCAGUUGGUCCUGUUGUGACGACAGGAGCUCCCGAAAGCACCCCGAUGGAAGAUCUGGUGAACCAGGGUAAUAAGACGAUGGACGCCGAGGCCUCUGCAGAGCCUGAGCUACAGAUGGCCAUCAAGUGUCGUGACGUCUGCCGGUCCUACGGCAAACUGAAGGUCAUCAGCAACAUGGACCUGACUGUUCCACAGGGACAAAUUUAUGGCCUGUUGGGGCCCAGUGGAUGUGGGAAGACCACGCUGUUAAAAUGUAUCGUAGGAACUCUGAAGAUCUCCCGGGGCCACAUCAGUGUUCUGGGAAAACCUCCUUCCUUUCCUGGUCAUGAAGUUCCUGGCAGGAUGGUUGGAUACAUGCCACAGGAUUUGGCGCUGUAUAACGAGUUCACAAUCAGUGACACACUCACAUUCUUUGGACGCAUUCACGGACUGACCUCCAAGGAGACCCAGGCCCGCAUGGACUUCCUGGUGGACUUCCUGGACCUACCUCAGAAGUGCAGGCUGGUCCGAAAUCUCAGUGGAGGCCAGAGGAGGAGGGUGUCCCUCGGAGCUGCUCUGCUACAGAACCCACAGCUUCUAAUUCUGGAUGAGCCCACAGUGGGAGUGGACCCUGUGUUAAGAGCCAGGAUCUGGCAGCAUCUGGUGGAGAUAGUAAAGACGGGAAAGGUGUCGGUCAUCAUCACAACACACUACAUAGAGGAGGCCCGUCAAGCUAAUGUGGUUGGUCUUAUGAGGAACGGCCGUUUGCUGGCAGAAGGAAAUCCACAGGAAGUGAUGCAUCAGCUCAAUGCAUCCACGUUGGAGCACGCCUUCCUCCAGCUCUGUGAGACGUCAGACCUGAUGGACUCAAAGCAGGGCAGCAGGCAGCAGGGGGAAAGCAAACAUUCACUUGAGAGCGGACAGGACGAGAGCCGACCCAUUCUUAGCAUAGGACCAGGAGGAACACCAGAGGACAUACCUAAACAUGCUGUGGAUUGGAAGGUACGAGCCAGGCAUGUGCUUCCCAAGUGGAGGAACAUCUCAGCGCUGAUGAUAAAGACCCUGAUACGGAUGAAGAGGAUGCCUGGGUCGUUGUGCUUCCAGUUCUUACUGCCGGUCAUCCAGAUCUCCCUUAUGUGUGUGUGCAUUGGAGGAGACCCCAAGGGCGUCCGGGUGGCUGUGGUGAACAACGAGACAUCCUCCACUGGCUACAGCCAGCUGCUGCUGGGCUUCCUAGACAACUCCAGUAUAGAGCAGGUACCGCUGAGCCACGCAGACGCCUUCACUGGGAUCUACAACGGAGAGUACUGGGGGGUCCUCGGCUUCGGACAGAACUUCUCCAGCUACAUGACCAGGAGGGCUCUCAAACCGCAAACCGUUUCUAAAGAUGUGGUCGAUGGAGGCUCAGUACACGUCUGGCUGGACCUGACAAAUCGACAAAUUGCUCUGAUGCUCCAGAAGAAAGUCUUCCAGGCCUUUCAGGAAUUUGUAGAUUAUAAACUGGACAGCAAGGCCUACAUGGUGGCUCUGCCUAUUAAGAUAGAAGAGCCGAUCUAUGGAAGCCUCAACACUGACUUCACCACCUUCAUCACUCCGGGAGCCGUGCUCAGUAUCACCUUCUACCUGGCGGUGGGGCUCACGGCGCUCUCCUUUGUCCUGGAGAGGAAGGAGGGUCUGCUGGACAGGUGCUGGGUGGCAGGUGUGAGCUCUUUAGAGACGAUGUUGGCCCAUCUUCUGUCGCAGCUGUUUGUGAUCAGUGUCCAGAUCCUUCUCAUGCUGCUAUUCGUCCUCUUGGUUUUCAAGAUCCCUAACGAGGGCUCUCUGAUACUGGUGGUGGCCCUCAUCGUGCUGCAGGGCGUUACUGGCAUCGCCUUCGGCCUGGUCAUCUCCGCCGCCAUCGACGACGAGCAGAGUGCCAACCAGGCGGCCUUAGGCGUCUUCUACCCCAACCUGGUGAUCAGCGGGGUGAUCUGGCCUGUGGAGUGUAUCCCCUACCCUCUGCGCUACCUCAGCCUGGCGCUGCCUCAGACCUACGCCUCAGAAGCACUGCGCUGCAUCAUGUAUAGAGGCUGGGGCCUCGGUCACAUGAUGGUGUGGCGCGGUUUUGCGGUCACGCUGGGAUGGAACACCUUUUUCCUCCUUCUGGCCACAAUCAUCCUCAAGCUCAGGACGUGACAUCCCAGCCUUAAGGGCAGCCUGGACGGAGGGCCUCGGUGUUAGCCUGUCUGGUUGACCAUUACCUUGUCGCUGCUCCAAUCAGAGAGCUGCAUACCCUUCAGCCAAUGGCAGUGGGUGCUGAUUCUCCAUGGGGCGGUCAUGGACCACAGUCUACGGCAGGGUGGAUUGCUGUCAGGCCCUGUCCACGUUCACGCUUUCCAGAUCAGCCAAUGGUCAGCUCACAGCCCAUGGUCCAGCUGACAUGGAACAUAUUUAGUCACAACCAAGAAAUGUUUGCGGUCCAAAAUAGCAGUUGGUUGGUGCCUGAUGGUUUGUCGUCUUGUUCUUUAUGUACAUUUAUGUUCAUACUUAAAUUAAAUCAAGUAAAUGCCUUUUUGUUGGAAGUCUGUUUCUGCAUUUCAGGUUCAGGAUAACUAAUCAAAAUCAUUAAACUCACUGGUCAACAGAGAUCUUUUUUAUUUAAAAGAUGUGACAAACAAAAAAUAAAUAUUGAUGGCAAUAUAUAAAUUAUAUGAAAUAUAUGGAAAAAUCUAAGUCAAUUCAGAUGUUUUUUUCUUUUACAAUUAUUCAAAAUUAUAAUUUGUGAGAGUAUAAUCAAGGUGGAAACAAUAAUGGUUCUUUGUAAGUUUACAGACCGUGUAAUGUUGGCCUGUUGCGUCCUGUUACUUUAGAAGCUAUUAUCUAUAGCAGUAUUCUGGCUCUGUAGCCAGAAUACCGAGCCAGAAUCUGUAGAGUCUGUAGUAUCGCCAGAGUGGAGGAGGGACAAAUGUGUCAAAAGACUGUUGUCAACACAGACUUAAGUUGAUGGCUUAAGGAAUGUUCACUGUAGAUAAACAUACUGUACCACGGUGCAGAAGGACUACUCGUACUUCUGCAACAGCGACAAACUAAAUCAACACAAGAACACAUGCUCAUUCAUCUGCGGUAGCCAGUGUGUGCCUGGCCUGUGAUCCACUAAACAUUAUGUCAACACACAGCUGCACAUGGUUACUGUCGCUAUGACAGCAUGACAACACAUCCCUGCACAGUUCCUCAGACCGGGAACAGCACAGUGUUAUUUAAUAUUUGCAGAGUUUGAGCACAGCGUGUGUCUAUGACAUAACCCUGUCACACGGAGGACUCUCUGGUACCAGCUGACCUCCCGGCUCCUGCAGAACACAACCCUGCUGUUGCUAUGUUUGGGUCCUUGCGCCUAGUAACCACCACACUCCUCUUUAGAGGGCAUGGCCUGUGUGUCACACACAACAUCUUUAUUCACAUUAUGUUAUUUUUUUAUUAAAUAAAAAAAAUUAACUGCAAUACUGCAUUAUUCUUUCAUUGUAGGGAGUCGGCAAAUGGCGGCCCGUGGGCCAUAAAUGGCCCGCCAGACAUAAUAUCUGGCCCGCCAGAUUAUUCUGAAGUUAUAUGAUUUUUUUUAUUUUUUUUUAUCGAAUAUCUAUAUCUGUUAGCUUAAAUGUAAAGGGCCGGAUACAGUGAACUUUUUUUUCUUUCACAACCGUUUUUGAAUCUAAUUGUAUCAAAUACUGCUACUAC
RNA transcript from Gadus macrocephalus (Pacific cod), 3942 nucleotides. It is a transcript of the gene named ATP-binding cassette, sub-family H, member 1, with no coding region annotated. Lineage: Eukaryota; Metazoa; Chordata; Actinopteri; Gadiformes; Gadidae. The transcript is spliced from 22 exons. The record is from RefSeq and is a predicted model, not a curated record.